This 665-nucleotide long non-coding RNA is filed under the name Elaeis guineensis (African oil palm). RNAcentral describes it as "long non-coding RNA (EGUI_LNC080295)". The record is from RNAcentral. Lineage: Eukaryota; Viridiplantae; Streptophyta; Magnoliopsida; Arecales; Arecaceae.
UGUCUGGCCUCUGUGGAUCAUCCACAUGAAGCUUUCGAUCUGAUCGACUCCUCAUGAGUGCUAGCUCGUUGUAGAGCCCUUUCGACGGCCGAUGCUGAUCGAACUCCUUCGAUCGAUAUCUGCCAAUUCUUUGGAUGCUCUGGAUAAUCAGCAGAUGUGCUUGAGAAGAUGUUGAAGAUCUUCCUAAAAUUUGGUGGGCUCACGACACUCGUAGCUCACCUUCUCACUUUCCGAACCCCAGGAUGAAACCCUAGGGUACACUAAGAAAACUCUGUGCCCUUUUUUCUUUCUUUUUCUCUCGGAAGGUUUUGGACCUUCACCUCAUACAGAAAGCUUCCUCAUGCCCCCAACUUUCUCUCCAAAAAAUUCUACACACGCCCCACCUUUCUCCCCUUUUUAAAACAACAUCGAACAUGUCUUAUCCGCGUGAGAGGAUAAAGAUAAGUGGUUGAACAUUUGAAUUCAAAUCGAGUUUGAAUAUAAAUGCAAACCAACUCAUCCCUAUCCACUUAUGGCAUGAGAAGAGAAGGGUGUGGACUCUUUGUGCAUGGAAAGGUUUAAUGAGAAACUCUUUCUCGUGUAAGAUAUGUGGCACACAAGAUGGAUAAGCAUGAAGGCGCAAGAGAUAAGUUAUCCAUUCAAAUUCAAACACGCUUUGAAUUUGA